CCUACGGGAGGCAGCAGUGGGGAAUAUUGGGCAAUGGGCGAAAGCCUGACCCAGCGACGCCGCGUGAGUGAAGAAGGUCUUCGGAUCGUAAAACUCUGUCCUUGGUGAAGAUAAUGACGGUAGCCAAGGAGGAAGCCCCGGCUAACUACGUGCCAGCAGCCGCGGUAAU
RNAcentral lists this ribosomal RNA (169 nucleotides) under uncultured bacterium. Its description in RNAcentral is "partial 16S ribosomal RNA". It matches the Rfam family "Bacterial small subunit ribosomal RNA", at positions 338 to 524 of the family's 1533-position model. The record is from RNAcentral.